GUGAAAACCCAAAAAAAAAAAAAAAAAAAAAAAAAAGAUAAAAAAAAAAAAAAAAAAGUGAAGUGUCCGGACACUCAAACAAGUGUCCGGACACCUCGAGCAGUUUUUGAGCAGAUAUGCAAUCUGUCUCAUUUUCUUCACAAAGUGUCCGGACACUUUAUGAGCCGUCCGGACACUCGACGAUAAAUUUCAGUUUAAAACACAUUGGGACAGUUUUAGUUUUAAUUCUUUCACUGGUUUUGACAGAGAACGCCGAGAGAGAGAGAGAACUAGAGAGAAGAAGGAUUUUGGUGUGAAUCAAGGAGAAAGAAGCUUGACUUGAAGAUUUUGGACUUUCUAAAGCUUGGUUUUCAAGAUUUCUUCAAGAUUGAGAUUUGAGCUUGGAUUGAAGUGUGGAGAUAGGAGGAGAGGUGGUUGUCCUAAGGUUUGAAGAUUUGGGCAAGGUUAUUGAACUUGGAAGAUUGGUGACUAGAGUUGUGGUGAGGUUUUACUCAAACGAGGUAGGGAUUUUCUUAACCCUUAAUCUCAAACACUAUUGGCUACCCGAAUUAUGUAUUAAAUUCGUUAGUUUCCGCCUUUUUGGUCAAGGGGAAACAAGCCUUGGAUUGGGUGCGAUUGUGAACUCAAAUCUAUAUGUUGUGUGUUUAAUAUUGAAUGCAUUACCCGUGGACACUCGGUCAUCUAUCGAGUAGUCAAUAUUCUUAAUUACAUGGUUGAAUGACAUUGCGCGCAAUGAAUUUAGUUGCAUGACAUUCAUGUGUGAUGCUGCAUUUGUGCAUGGUGAAAGUGGUGGGUUGGAUUUUGGUAUGUACGUCAACGUGCACUAGUGGUUCCGGUAAUUGGCUCUAGUGGCAUGAUAUGGAAUAUUUGUGCGAGCAUGUGCUAGUGGUUCCGGUUAAUUGGCUCUAGCAACAUGGCUCGGUUGGAUGUACGGAAUUGCAUUUGUUUGACAACAUGGCAUAUUGUUGCAUUGCGUUAUUUCCUUAUAAUAUUCCGGACCGUUUUUUUUAUUUAUACUCCUAUUCGGUAUCCCUACUGAGCCUCCUGCUCACCGUUUCAUUUUUU
Molecule: long non-coding RNA, 1065 nt
Organism: Tripterygium wilfordii
Lineage: Eukaryota; Viridiplantae; Streptophyta; Magnoliopsida; Celastrales; Celastraceae
Exons: 3
Source: RefSeq, a predicted model, not a curated record